RNAcentral lists this long non-coding RNA (286 nucleotides) under Mytilus galloprovincialis (Mediterranean mussel). The record is from RNAcentral. Lineage: Eukaryota; Metazoa; Mollusca; Bivalvia; Mytilida; Mytilidae.
UUUUUUUUUAAAGUGCCGAGUUUAUGGCUUUUUAAACACGGCAUUUCGGGUUUUAUCUUGCCGGUGCAAUGGACAAGUUAGUGAAUUUAUUCUGUUUGUAGUCUAAAUGGAACGUGUUACUUUUCAGCCCAGAUACCCUCAAUCUUCCGAAGUGGAAGAUUCUAAAUCUGCAAGGCGUAAAUUAAUUCUUUAAUACGGCAUGAGGCACACAUUAGUUUUUCCUAUACAACAAAUGCAAUUAAAAAAUUUAGAUGACUCCAACUUUGACAAUUACUUUUUAAUAAAC